Non-coding RNA from Pelobates cultripes (western spadefoot toad), 129 nucleotides. The record is from the annotation of a GenBank genome assembly. Lineage: Eukaryota; Metazoa; Chordata; Amphibia; Anura; Pelobatidae.
UCCGGGUCGGGAGGCAGGGGGAGGGCUCCAGGAAGCAGCUCCCCUGUCCUCCCGCGCGAUGCUGUGUGGAGCGCAUUGCGCGGAGGACAGGGGAGCUGCUUCCUGGAGCCCUCCCCCUGCAGUGCUUAC